This 743-nucleotide ribosomal RNA is filed under the name Apilactobacillus kunkeei. RNAcentral's name for it is "bacterial SSU rRNA". It matches the Rfam family "Bacterial small subunit ribosomal RNA", at positions 131 to 858 of the family's 1533-position model. Lineage: Bacteria; Bacillati; Bacillota; Bacilli; Lactobacillales; Lactobacillaceae. The record is from RNAcentral.
CCGAAGCGGGGGAUAACAUUUGGAAACAAGUGCUAAUACCGCAUAAUUAGUUGGAACCGCAUGGUUCCAACUUGAAAGAUGGCUCUGCUAUCACUUUGGGAUGGACCCGCGCCGUAUUAGUUAGUUGGUGAGAUAAAAGCCCACCAAGACGAUGAUACGUAGCCGACCUGAGAGGGUAAUCGGCCACAUUGGGACUGAGACACGGCCCAGACUCCUACGGGAGGCAGCAGUAGGGAAUCUUCCACAAUGGACGAAAGUCUGAUGGAGCAACGCCGCGUGAGUGAUGAAGGUUUUCGGAUCGUAAAACUCUGUUGUUAAAGAAGAACAAGUGUUAGAGUAACUGUUAACACUUUGACGGUAUUUAACCAGAAAGCCACGGCUAACUACGUGCCAGCAGCCGCGGUAAUACGUAGGUGGCAAGCGUUGUCCGGAUUUAUUGGGCGUAAAGCGAGCGCAGGCGGUUUUGUAAGUCUGCUGUGAAAGCCCUCAGCUCAACUGAGGAAGUGCAGUGGAAACUACAAAACUUGAGUACAGAAGAGGAAAGUGGAACUCCAUGUGUAGCGGUGAAAUGCGUAGAUAUAUGGAAGAACACCAGUGGCGAAGGCGGCUUUCUGGUCUGUUACUGACGCUGAGGCUCGAAAGCAUGGGUAGCGAACAGGAUUAGAUACCCUGGUAGUCCAUGCCGUAAAACGAUGAAUACUAGGUGUUGGAGGGUUUCCGCCCUUCAGUGCCCCAGCUAACGC